This 216-nucleotide ribosomal RNA is filed under the name uncultured bacterium. Its description in RNAcentral is "partial 16S ribosomal RNA". It matches the Rfam family "Bacterial small subunit ribosomal RNA", at positions 117 to 334 of the family's 1533-position model. The record is from RNAcentral.
AUAGGGAUCUGCCUGAUAGUGGGGGACAACGUGUGGAAACGCACGCUAAUACCGCAUACGCUCUACGGAGGAAAGCGGGGGACCUUUUGGGGCCUCGUGCUAUCAGAUGAACCUAUAUCAGAUUAGCUAGUUGGUGAGGUAAUGGCUCACCAAGGCGACGAUCUGUAGCUGGUUUGAGAGAAUGAUCAGCCACACUGGGGCUGAGACACGGCCCAG